Phyllostomus hastatus (greater spear-nosed bat) is the source of this 191-nucleotide long non-coding RNA. RefSeq lists it as uncharacterized. NCBI's taxonomy places the organism in Eukaryota, Metazoa, Chordata, Mammalia, Chiroptera, Phyllostomidae. The transcript is spliced from 3 exons. The record is from RefSeq and is a predicted model, not a curated record.
GGGAAAGAAGAGAGACCAGAUAUCCAGGCAAGGAGAUAAAUAAAGGGUAUUUGAAGGAAGGACCUUAAAGAUCAUGCCAUUCUUUCUUAGCAUGGAAGGUAAGGGACUCAUGGCUAAUGUUAGAACUCAAAACGAGUGUCAAGUUUUAAAACGUUAAAGUACAAAGAAAUUACCUGGGAAAUGAAUAAAAA